Long non-coding RNA from Clupea harengus (Atlantic herring), 2478 nucleotides. RefSeq lists it as uncharacterized. Lineage: Eukaryota; Metazoa; Chordata; Actinopteri; Clupeiformes; Clupeidae. The record is from RefSeq and is a predicted model, not a curated record. The transcript is spliced from 3 exons.
GUGUGUGAGAGCAGCACACUCAUGUUCCCAGGCAGGAAUGCCAGCGCGCUCUCUGUUGUUAAUGGUUUCCACAUGGAGUUGGAGCGAGGGGCGGCCAAGACUCCGGCACGGGGCAGAAAUCUCCAAAUUUAGAAGAAAUAUGAAAAUUGUCAAAUGCAGCUUCCCUCGAAAGGGAGACAGGACCACCCCCCCGCCGCCUCCCACCCCCUACUCGCCUCCCCUUUCUCCCCCUCCUCCUCCCCGAAAGGAUCCCUCCGCACCAGAGAGCUCUCCUCCUCAGACGCAGCAGGUCACGGGCUGGGGUCACGGGGCCCCCCAUUGGCCCUCCCGCUGCCCAAUCGCGCGGCUCCGGGGGUUUUCCCUCCUCGUGGCGCUGCGGAGCUGGGCCGGCCCUCUCCUCAUAUAAGGUAAAACAAAAGUCUUUGCUCCUCGAGCCGGCCGUGCUUCGACAGGGAGCCUGGAGCCGGGAACCCCCUCCAGAGCGUCCAGGACAGGCGCUCCAUCUGCAGUCAUGGGGACCAGGGUAGGGGACCCCCCCCCCCCCUCAUCAGCCGCCACCACCAGGCCAGCCGACAGGACCAGGACAGCGGCACACGUCCAGCAGCACACCUUCCUUCCCACUACUGGGAGGGGGCUACAGAGGAGUGACAGCCUCAUGGGAGCAGGACCAACUGGAGCAGUCGGCACGCCCCAGGCCAGAGCAGGUUGAGAUCCCCCGGGGCAGGCCAGGGUGGAACAGGUGGGAGGCUAAAGCCUUUGAGUGAGAGGAUCAAAGCCUCCACAGUCUACGGCCCAAGCCCAGGAAACCAUGGCGUCCAAGGGGAAGAAAGAUACAGGUAGGUUUGGGCAGUCCAAGAUGGGAAUGGAUGGAUGGAUGAUGGAUGGAGGGAUGGAUGGAUGGAUGGAUGGAUGGAUGGAUGGAUGGAUGGAUGGAUGGAUGGUCGUCCUGGUCGUCCAGCCCCAGGUGCAGUGCUGCAUCUCUGGUCAAUUGGUAGUCUGAGAUGAAGCACUGUAGCUCGGGAGGGAGGGCAUGAGCUCCAGACACGUACGCAUCAGCUCCAGACACACAUGAGCUCCAGACACGUUCACAUGAGCUCCAGACACGUACACAUCAGCUCCAGACACACAUGAGCUCCAGACACGGACACAUGAGCUCCAGACACGUGCACAUCAGGACUCAGGACUCAGUCACAUGUUCUGUUGUAAAGCAGUAAAGAAACGUCUUUAAAAUUAUUCAUUUCAAGUGUGUUUGCAGUCCGUUUAAAAAAAUAAAAAAAAGCCCUGUUCUUGUAGUUUGCUUUGCUCCCUGGAGCAUUCGACGUUCCCAGUGUCCUGCGUGUCACUAUUUUGGGGAUUGAACGGAGCACAUUCCCAAUGUUCCCUGUCCCCGGGGUCCAGUUUUCCCAGGAAUCCCUUGGCCAAUCAACAAGGGGGAUUCCUGGAAAUACUGUUCUUGGGGUCUGGGCCUUACUACAGGUCUGUGUAUCUCACACACACACACACACACACCGAGUGCUUCUACUGAAUGGUCUGAUCUAGGCUAGUAUAUGCAGUAUGCACCGUUAGGGAGUAGUGAACUAAACUAACUAAAUGUCAUUAAACUCAGUAACUUGCUGGUAGUUCAACUACAUUCAUAUUUGCAUAGUUAUUCAAGUAGUAACAUCUUUUGCCAUCUUCUGUGUCGUUAACUACUGAAACUACAAACAAUCGAAAGGACAGGAAUCAUUUUGUAUUUCAUCAUUGCUUCUGUACUGUAAUUGAACCCUCUCUGACCAGCCUCCUCCCCCUUGUCUAUCAUCCUGAUUGAUUGAAGGACUGCUUGUGUGUUGUCUAUCGUCCUGAUUGAUUGAAGGACUGCUUGUGUGUUGUCUAUCAUCCUGAUUGAUUGAAGGACUGAUCGUGUGUGUUGUAGAACGAGGAGAUUCUGCUCAGACAGGUCAAAAGAUAGGCCUAUUGAUUAGACCGAUGUUCAAGCUGUUCAUACUGUCUGAACACUGAAGUCAGUCAACAGGCCCAAUGCUAAAGACCCAGGGCUUUUUUAGACCAGUGCUAAAGUCGCUCAAACGGUCUAAAAAAGUAUAUUUUACUAAAAAUAUUUAUUUAUAUUUUACUAAAAUAUUUUUUCCUUUACUGUUUCAGUUGUAGUCAGAUUUUUUUCUAACAACAAAAAUGUAACAUUCCUUGCAAUUGUGUCUUUGUGAGACGCCCAGAUGGGAUAGUUUUGUUUAAACAGGUUUAUGUCUCCAGAGGUGCCAGCUCACCAGUGAAGAAUAUUUGGCUAUAGAGUCUAAAAUUGUAUUACUAAACCUGAAUAUUAUAAGUUAUUGAUUAGUGCUAUUUAUUAACAAAUGUUUCAAAAAGUUGUUGCAUGCUAUUUGAGAAAGUUACAUCGCUAACUGAGUAAUCUUGCUUUUAUUUAUUUAUGUAUUUAUUUUUUUAUGUAUGACCUGUGAGUUUGCAAUAAACUUAAUUGAGUGG